Molecule: ribosomal RNA, 253 nt
Filed under: uncultured bacterium
Lineage: Bacteria
Description: partial 16S ribosomal RNA
Rfam family: Bacterial small subunit ribosomal RNA
Source: RNAcentral
UACGAAGGGGGCUAGCGUUGCUCGGAAUCACUGGGCGUAAAGGGUGCGUAGGCGGGUCUUUAAGUCAGGGGUGAAAUCCUGGAGCUCAACUCCAGAACUGCCUUUGAUACUGAGGAUCUUGAGUUCGGGAGAGGUGAGUGGAACUGCGAGUGUAGAGGUGAAAUUCGUAGAUAUUCGCAAGAACACCAGUGGCGAAGGCGGCUCACUGGCCCGGUACUGACGCUGAGGCGCGAAAGCGUGGGGAGCAAACGGG